UUUUUAGGGGGAGUGUUGGCCCAAGAGACCUAAAGCCCGCUGCUAUACGUGCGGGCGCGUGUGUCGCGGCCGGACAGCCUGGGUGGGCGCGCCGUGUGUGCGGGCGGCCCCGACGGACACGCCAUGUGUCGGCGGUCCGGUUCCAACAAUUGGUAUCAGAGGCCAGGUUGACCCAAUGCAUUCUUAGACAACAUGGCUCACAAUGUGUGAGGGGGAGAUUAUUGGGAAUAGUCCCACAUUGUCUGGUGAGAGUGUGAAAGCAUGGUUUAUAAGGUUGAGGGUGCAACCCCUAUUAGGCUAGCUUUUUAGGGGGAGUGUUGGCCCAAGAGACCUAAAGCCCGCUGCUAUACGUGCGGGCGCGUGUGUCGUGGCCCGACAGCCUGGGUGGGCGCGCCGUGUGUGCGGGCGGCCCCGACGGACACGCCAUGUGUCGGCGGUCCGGUUCCAACAAUUGGUAUAUUGUUGGGAAUAGUCCCACAUUGUCUGGUGAGAGUGUGAAAGCAUGGUUUAUAAGGUUGAGGGUGCAACCCCUAUUAGGCUAGCUUUUUGGGGGGAGUGUUGGCCCAAGAGACCUAAAGCCCGCUGCUAUACGUGCGGGCGCGUGUAUCGCGGCCCGACAACCUGGGUGGGCGCGCCGUGUUUGCGGGCGACCCCGAUGGACACGCCAUGUGUCGGCGGUCCGGUUCCAACAAUUGGUAUCAGAGUCAGGUUGGCCCAGUGCAUUCUCAGACAAAUCUUGGCUCACAAUGUGUGAGGGGGAGAUUGUUGGGAAUAGUCCCAUAUUGUCUGGUGAGAGUGUGAAAGCAUGGUUUAUAAGGUUGAGGGUGCAACCCCUAUUAGGCUAGCUUUUUGGAGGGAGUGUUGGCCCAAGAGACCUAAAGCCCGUUGCUAUACGUGCGAACGCGUGUAUCGCGGCCCGACAACCUGGGUGGGCGCGCCGUGUUUGCGGGCGGCCCCAACGGACACGCCAUGUAUCGGCGGUCCGGUUCCGUCUCUUGGGCCAACACAACACUCCCCCUAAAAAGCUAGCCUGAUAGGGGUUGCACCAUCAACCUUAUAAACCAUGCUUUCACACUCUCACCAGACAAUGUGGGACUAUUCCCAACAAUCUCCCCCUCACACAUUGUGAGCCAACAUUUGUCUGAUAAUGCACUGGGCCAACCUGGCUUUGAUACCAAUUGUUAGAACCGGACCGCCGACACAUGGCAUGUCCGUCGGGGCCGCCCGCACACACGGCGCGCCCACCCAGGCUGUCGGGCCGCGACACACGCGCCCACACGUAUAGCAGCGGGCUUUAGGUCUCUUGGGCCAACACUCCCCCCCA
Molecule: long non-coding RNA, 1324 nt
Filed under: Zea mays
Lineage: Eukaryota; Viridiplantae; Streptophyta; Magnoliopsida; Poales; Poaceae
Description: long non-coding RNA (ZMAY_LNC000135)
Source: RNAcentral